AGUUGUGAGCAGCUGGCGAUGGUCGGGGUACGGCGAGGCAGAGGGAGGCCUAAGAGGUAUUGGAGAGAGGUGAUUAGGCAUGACAUGACUAGAAUGCGGGUUUCCGAGGACAUGACCCUUGAUAGGAAAGUCUGGAGGUCUAGUAUUAGGGUUGUAGGAGAUUAGGCAUGACAUGGCUAGAAUGCGGGUUUCUGAGGACAUGACCCUUGAUAGAAAAGUCUGGAGGUCUAGUAUCAGGGUUGUAGGAUAGGGGCCCCUAGGGUUUUUCGUACUCCUCACCCGGGGUUGGUGAGGCUUGACAGGGC
Molecule: long non-coding RNA, 305 nt
Filed under: Nicotiana benthamiana
Lineage: Eukaryota; Viridiplantae; Streptophyta; Magnoliopsida; Solanales; Solanaceae
Description: long non-coding RNA (NBEN_LNC038523)
Source: RNAcentral